This 373-nucleotide ribosomal RNA is filed under the name uncultured bacterium. Its description in RNAcentral is "partial 16S ribosomal RNA". It matches the Rfam family "Bacterial small subunit ribosomal RNA", at positions 338 to 707 of the family's 1533-position model. The record is from RNAcentral.
CCUACGGGUGGCAGCAGUGAGGAAUCUUGGUCAAUGGGCUUACGCCUGAACCAGCCAAGUCGCGUGAGGGAAGACUGCCCUAUGGGUUGUAAACCUCUUUUGUCAGGGAGCAACUCCGGCUACGUGUAGCCCGACUGAGAGUACCUGCAGAAAAAGCAUCGGCUAACUCCGUGCCAGCAGCCGCGGUAAUACGGAUGAUCCGCGCGUUACUCGGAUUUAUUGGGUUUAAUGGGGGCGUUGGUGGAGUGUUAAGUCAGUUGUGAAAGUUGGCGGCUCAACCGUAAAAUUGCAGUUGAAACGGGGAGACUAGAGUAAAGGAGGGGAGGACGGAAUUCGUGGUGUAGAGGUGAAAUGCUUAGAUAUCGAGAGGAAC